RNAcentral lists this ribosomal RNA (173 nucleotides) under uncultured bacterium. RNAcentral describes it as "partial 16S ribosomal RNA". It matches the Rfam family "Bacterial small subunit ribosomal RNA", at positions 1327 to 1500 of the family's 1533-position model. The record is from RNAcentral.
UGGAGUCGCUAGUAAUCGCGGAUCAGCAACGCCGCGGUGAAUACGUUCUCGGGCCUUGUACACACCGCCCGUCACACCAUGGGAGUCGGUAACACCCGAAGUCUGUAGCCUGACGCAAGAGGGCGCAGCCGAAGGUGGGAUUGAUGACUGGGGUGAAGUCGUAACAAGGUAUC